UGCAUUCUGUGAACUUAAUUCUGUUCAAUGUGUCUCCUCUGUCUUCUCAGGCCCAGGAGGAUCUUACAGCCAGGGAGACCUGCAAGGCUGGAUUCUCAGAAGAAGGUUACACGGCAUUAAUCUCCCCAGAUAUUCUGCAAGGAGAGAGGCUGCUCAAAGGUGUCACAUCUCAGGAUCAGAGAGUUGUUUUUAAGGAAGACUUAGAAGUAAUUUCACACAUAUGGAGACAGAAGCUAAAACUGCAAUACACGCAAGCCAGGACACGUAAACCUUCCUGUGUGUGUGCAAAACUUUGCAACUGCAAGAACACAGCAGAGAUGGAUGUGUCAAAAAUAAAUGAGAGGCAGUGUUCCUGUCGUUCUGGUAGGAGUCGCAGUAAAUAGAUAACGGCUGCUUAUAAGUGAGCUAUUCCAACAGAGAGAACUUAACCUUAAUUUGACAAGCAAAGCUUCGUAGAGCCCGCUUUAUGGUAAGUUCGCCAUAAGCUGCUAACGACCACUCCGUGGCUCCCUCUCUCUGCCUGAGUCAGCUCCCCAGCAGCCCCAAACACACACUUUCCGGCAAGAGCGAUUUGUUACACAGUAAUUAACUUGUUUAUGAUAAAUGGAUGGAAGAAAUGUCGUGGCAUUUUGUUUUAUGUCUAAAUGAAAAGCAUUUGCAUUCUAAAAAU
RNAcentral lists this long non-coding RNA (670 nucleotides) under Ictidomys tridecemlineatus (thirteen-lined ground squirrel). RNAcentral's name for it is "lncRNA (ENSSTOG00000030458.1)". Lineage: Eukaryota; Metazoa; Chordata; Mammalia; Rodentia; Sciuridae. The record is from RNAcentral.